This 810-nucleotide ribosomal RNA is filed under the name Polythrincium trifolii. RNAcentral's name for it is "eukaryotic LSU rRNA". It matches the Rfam family "Eukaryotic large subunit ribosomal RNA", at positions 81 to 917 of the family's 3401-position model. Lineage: Eukaryota; Fungi; Ascomycota; Dothideomycetes; Mycosphaerellales; Mycosphaerellaceae. The record is from RNAcentral.
UAGUAACGGCGAGUGAAGCGGGAACAGCUCAAAUUUGAAAUCUGGCCCUUGGGUCCGAGUUGUAAUUUGCAGAGGAUGCUUUUGGUGCGGUGCCUUCCGAGUUCCCUGGAACGGGACGCCUUAGAGGGUGAGAGCCCCGUACGGUUGGCCACCAAGCCUGUGUAAAGCUCCUUCGACGAGUCGAGUAGUUUGGGAAUGCUGCUCAAAAUGGGAGGUAUAUUUCUUCUAAAGCUAAAUACUGGCCAGAGACCGAUAGCGCACAAGUAGAGUGAUCGAAAGAUGAAAAGCACUUUGAAAAGAGGGUUAAAUAGCACGUGAAAUUGUUGAAAGGGAAGGAUUUAUGACCAGACUUUUUCUAGGGGGAUCAUCCGGUGUUCUCACCGGUGCACUUCCCCUAGUUGAGGCCAGCAUCGGUUUCUGUCGGGGGAUAAAAGCUUCAGGAAUGUGGCUCCCUCCGGGGAGUGUUAUAGCCUGUUGCAUAAUACCCUGACGGGGACCGAGGUUCGCGCAUUGCAAGGAUGCUGGCGUAAUGGUUAUUAAUCACCCGUCUUGAAACACGGACCAAGGAGUCGAACAUUUGUGCGAGUGUUUGGGUGUUAAACCCUCACGCGUAAUGAAAGUGAACGGAGGUGAGAGCCCUUCGGGGUGCAUCAUCGACCGAUCCUGAUGUCUUCGGAUGGAUUUGAGUAAGAGCAUAACUGUUCGGACCCGAAAGAUGGUGAACUAUGCGUGGAUAGGGUGAAGCCAGAGGAAACUCUGGUGGAGGCUCGCAGCGGUUCUGACGUGCAAAUCGAUCGUCAAAUCUGCGCA